AACCUCAAUCUCCCGUUCUUUAAACCUCGUCCUACCACUGUUUACACACCUAAGAAGUCUGUCCCCCUCUUGCUUAUAAACUCCAUUUAAAUACUGAAAGGCUGCAGUAUGGUCUACCCGGAGUCUUUUCCAGGCUGAGCAUGCCCAGCUCCCUCUACGUUUGUCAGUAGGCGAGGUACUCCAGCUCUAUGAUCAUCUUCAUGACCCUCCCCUGGGCUCGUCCCAACAACUCCGUGUCCUUCCUGUGCUGGGGGCCCAAUGCUGGACUCAGUACUCCAAAUGGGGCCUUAUAAGAGCAGAGGAGAGGGGCACAAUCACUUCCCUUGUCUUGAGGGCCACCCCUCUUUUGAUGUGGCCCAUGAUACAGUUGGGCUUCCCAGCUGCAAUGCUUUAAAAAAGCACAAGUAGACUUUUUGUUCUGUUUAAACAACAAAAAAGUAACUGUUACUAGAGAAUGUGUGAAUGAUUAUGCAGCAUUGCAAAUCCCUUAGAUGAGGAAACCAAUCUCAAGGGAAAAAUACUGCUCCAAUAGUUAUGCUAGGAGAAAUAGGUGAAAUAAUUGGCAAACGGAGGGCUACGAUUGCUAUCAAACUGUUGUUCAAUAUGCAGGCAUUCAGGAAGAAAUAGCUUAUACUGCAAUUAUCUUUUUUUUUUUCUUCUUUUUUUUAAAUCUAGCCUGCAUUUUUACAGCGUUUCAUCUGACAUUGAACUCAAACAUCUAUAGAAUCAGGCAGCCAGGGUGGAACAGACCUUCUCUUCUCUUGUUUGACUGUAGAUAUUUGCAAGUAACAGCAGUAGCCUCAAAAGUUCUCUUUCUCACAUCGCAUCUGCCAGGAGGUGCUACAUGCCUGAAUGUUACUCAGCUGAACCUUACUCAUUACUUCACCUUUGUCCAUUCUGCCUAAGUUUACAAGAAAGUAACCACUAGUAAAAGUUGAUGAGGUAACAGGAAGAAGGAAAAACAAGAUUUGAUAUAGACCUUCAGGAAAAGGAAAGAAGUUUUAACAAUUAUUUGCAUACAGAAGGUUGGAAUUAGGAAAGACAAGGCUUAGCUGGAAUUUGAAGGAGGGUUGCUAAAAACAGCAAUGCCUUUAAGUACAUGGUAGCAAAAAGAAAGCUAAGGAAAGUGCAUCCACAGCUCAGUGGGGCAGGGGACCCACCUACUGCCAAAGGACAUGGAAAAGUUUGAUGGAUUUGUUUCUUUUUGUAUCGGUUUUCAGUGAUGCAUUUUCUCCAGCUUCUCAAAUCCUAUUAGUUUGUGGGUCGAAACAUUAUUCACAGUAAAAGAAGGUACAGUUAUAUAGCACUUAAACCAAACUAAUACAUAUAAGUCUAUGGAACCAGACUUCUCUCUCACCUUUGAAAGGUCAUGAUCAGGGGACACUGCUGUUGAUCAGAGAAAAGCCAAAAGAGGACUGGGGAAUUAGGGGCCAGUGGAGCUGAUCUUUCUCAAGGUUCUUCAUGAGUAUGUGAAGAACAAGAAAGUUUUUGAGGACACUCAUAAUGGAUGUAACAAGGAUAGAUCACUCCUGACCAACUUAAUUGCCUUCUGUGUUUAGGUGUGCAGUUGCACGGAUGUUGCAUACCUUGGUAGGCAUUUAAUAUGAUCUCAAAUAGCAAGGUAGCCUCAGGGGGGAAAACCCUUCUGCUCAAGUUUUGCUCUCCACAGAACAACCAUACAGCACGACAAGCAUUUUUUUUCCAGUAGCAGUAGUAGCUAAGGCAGCAAAAGUUUAACCAGAACAGAUUCUGAUGUGGUACACUGUGCUGUCACAGGAAUAGUUGGAAUGGCCCAGCUGAGAGGACAGUGCAGGAAGAGAGGGGCAGAACACAAGAGGAAACUCAAGGCAGCAUCAUGGAUUAUGAUUAUUAUCAAUGCAGAAUGAAAGAAUCAGCUGCAACUUG
Coturnix japonica (Japanese quail) is the source of this 1905-nucleotide long non-coding RNA. The record is from Ensembl. Lineage: Eukaryota; Metazoa; Chordata; Aves; Galliformes; Phasianidae.